UCACCCCUCAAGCCCUGUGCUUGGUGUUGGACGGCCGGUCGAGCGAUCGACCCCUCCUAAAGACAAUGACGGCGGCCUGUGGUUCCCCCGGUACACUGAGCUUUUCACCGAGCACGUAUCGGACAAGGGCACCCGGGACCCGGUCCUCUCCUUUAAAAAGGAAACUUCUAU
This 171-nucleotide unclassified non-coding RNA is filed under the name uncultured Cladophialophora. Its description in RNAcentral is "sequence contains ITS2". Lineage: Eukaryota; Fungi; Ascomycota; Eurotiomycetes; Chaetothyriales; Herpotrichiellaceae. The record is from RNAcentral.